GGUUUUUCCCCAUAACCGUUUUUAUUUCAAAUUUAACACGAAAAAUCAUACAAACACACCCUAAAAAUGUCAACAUGAACAUUUGGCAAGCCAUGGGAACUUAUUUAAAAUUACAAUAACCCAAGAAGAAUGUGAAAUAUAUCAAGUCAACAUAAACCAUCCAUGGAAAAAGGGUCCUGGUAAGAAACCGGGCUUGCCUCUUUGUAAUUAAUCUUUAAAUGUCACAUGUUCAAUUAUAAGCUAUGUUUAAUUCUCUAUAUUGUACAUUUUUACAAUAAAAAUAUCUAGCUACAUAUAGUGUAAUUAUACAUUACAUUAAGAUUUCUCUAUAACCAUUCACACUUUAAGAAUCUUUAUUUUAAAAAAUAAAAUAUAUUUUUAAAAAAAAGAGCACUGGUACCAGGAAAUUAGUGACAGAUUGGAACAGUCAAAUCUGCUUGAGCAUUAUAUGUCAAUCAAAGUAAUCCAAGAUAAUGAACGGAGAAGACUUGUAUUCUCAGCAGCACAGUUUGCACCACACGUACACAAUCAGGUCCUUCGCACAAACCUGGCGAAGCCUACUGGAAAUACUGUGGGCUUAGUGGCACUUUGUGUAUUUUUUGGUCAGUUAUGAAGAAGUGGUUAGUUUAAAGAUCUGCCAAGUUUAAGACAUGCACAUCAUUUAAAAACUAAUAAUAAUAAUAAUAAUAAUAAUAAUAGGAUCCCUUUUCACAGACAGAAAGAAUGCGUUUGCACAGUUUCCGGAGAGCCACUUUAGCUGCAGAGUAAACCGAAUGGCUGAUCAAAUAUUCAUGCACAUUAAUACACUAUUCACAGAUCAAGUUUAAAGGUAAUGGUUUGCACAAUUAAAAAUCGUAUAGCCCAAUCAUCAACACUAAAAAAAAAAUUAUUAUUAUUAUUAUUUUAAGUUAUAAAAUCUGAUCUAAUAAUGAAACAAUGGAUCCCUUUUGGGGGAAACAGGCUAUGAGAGUAAUCCUUUUUUCAAUUCUUUUGACAAACAAGUCAAUCUUUAUGCAUCACAAUGCAAUGAUUGUCUACUGAUUGCCUUAUGUAAUCUCUCCUUUCAUCCUAAUAGCGUUAAUCAUGAUCAACAAGUGCUACAAAAAUGGUACCAUGCUUGGUAUGUGUCUCACAGAUAAUGUGGAAUGCAUAUUAUAAUAUCUCUCUUGUCCUCUUAACACUCCGUGAAGAGCGAUAGUACAUAUGAAUUGAUCAGGACCAUGACACUGCACGGUGUUCUCUGGUCUAGAGGUACGUCAGGCUGGAGCUGUUUAGACAUCAUGUAGUGUGCUUAAAACAUUCAUUUUAUCGUAGAUGUAUGGAAAAGUGUCUUUCACUUGCAAUGCAUAGUUACGAUUUAGUCGCAAAUACAAAGUUGCUAUUUAUUUGUAAAUGCUAAAUAAUUCAAACAUAUGUGCAAAAGUUUGGUCACCUUCUUUUAUAUAUAUAUAUAAAAAUAUUAUUAUUAUUAAUAAUAUUAUUUUAACUAAUGGCCUAAAUCCUCUUCACCUGAGAAUAUUUCAGUUAGCCAGGUAAAGUUUCAUUUUUGCAUUCUGCUAAAGACAGCUUCUGGUCUCUGAUCCAGCUGUGAUAGUGUGUGUGUGAGUGCGUGUGUGCAUGUGUGUGUGUGUGAAUAAUCAGAUUCAAAAGGUUUAGCCGUUUUCCUCUCCGAGUGCAGAUCAUCUCCCGACAGGUGGCGCAGGGGGAGCUCCUCGUAUAUUAGCUACAGUGCGAGACAAUACAGAAAGUUUAUCAUCAGGCAGAGUGGCAAAGCAAUACGACAAGGAGAAAUGACAAGAAGCUCAGAUGACGUACAGAUAUACAAAACCAUUUAUCUUACGUACGCACAGGUCUCAGGAGAUGCCAGACCCUCUUUAAAUAGCUCAAGAACACUUGACUUUUUGUGCGUGUGUAUUUUUGUGUCAUGUAUAGUCCAAAUUAGGACUGAUGAGAAGAAGAAAAAAAAGAAAAAAGUUUAUACUGAAUGCAAUUCAGUUCAAGCACAGCACCAUUAUUCCCUCUUAUUUGCUGUGACCAGUAGGCAUUACACCACCUGACCUUACACUCGCACCUAAAGCACAGAAUUUUUUUCUCCUCCCUGUGUGUGCAUGUAUUUUUAUUAUUUGCAUCGAUUCAUUUAAUUUUGUUGUGUGUGUACG
Long non-coding RNA from Ictalurus punctatus (channel catfish), 2159 nucleotides. The record is from Ensembl. NCBI's taxonomy places the organism in Eukaryota, Metazoa, Chordata, Actinopteri, Siluriformes, Ictaluridae.